UUUGUGUCCUUACAAAGGGAUGGGUUUUUUCUCUCUGUAUGUAUUCAUUUUCGUCUGCUCACUUCAUUGCCUUGUUUUUGUCGAUUCACUCUCGGUCUUGGAGAAAUUUGUGGAGAAUCUAUCCAUGUUCCUUUUUUUUUGGCUCUAUAUUUUGAUCGAAGAUCUACCCUCUGAAAAUUAGUUUCUUUCUAUAUAUAGGUGUAUAGUGUUAGUCUUUCACAUCUUAGAUUCGAAGAUUUAUGGUUUCGACGUGUUUGUGAUUAGGCUUGAGGAUGUAAGGUUUUGAUCUUUUGGGGUUUCAUCUUUUUUCAAAGGUGAGUUAUUACUGGUUUAUUGUACAUGGUUGUUGUUUUAUGUUGGGUUAUUUUACGUUUGUGCAGAAUCUAAUAUCUCUUAUAUUUUUCAAAAUCGUGACUUUUUUUGUGAGGUGAUCUGAAGGUGCAUCUUUAAGCAUGUGGAGUUUUUCUUCUUCUCGUCUUGGAUUUUGGAAAUGCAAGGACUCUAUGGAAGCAAAAAUUCCGGAAGAUGAACAAGUCAAAAGUAUAUGGUGGGAUGUUGAAGGCAAAUGGUGGUAUUUGGGGAAAGUUAAAAAUUGCACAAAUCAAUUCAAAAUGUAUGUCAGCAUGUGGGACCCCAUGUUUGUAGAAAGAAUGCAUUUUUUUGUCUAGUGAAUGACAUCUUUUUUUUUUUA
Molecule: long non-coding RNA, 691 nt
Organism: Olea europaea var. sylvestris
Lineage: Eukaryota; Viridiplantae; Streptophyta; Magnoliopsida; Lamiales; Oleaceae
Exons: 3
Source: RefSeq, a predicted model, not a curated record